UAGGGAAUCUUCGGCAAUGGACGAAAGUCUGACCGAGCAACGCCGCGUGAGUGAAGAAGGUUUUCGGAUCGUAAAACUCUGUUGUUAGAGAAGAACAAGGACGUUAGUAACUGAACGUCCCCUGACGGUAUCUAACCAGAAAGCCACGGCUAACUACGUGCCAGCAGCCGCGGUAAUACGUAGGUGGCAAGCGUUGUCCGGAUUUAUUGGGCGUAAAGCGAGCGCAGGCGGUUUCUUAAGUCUGAUGUGAAAGCCCCCGGCUCAACCGGGGAGGGUCAUUGGAAACUGGGGGACUAGAGUGCAGAAGAGGAGAGUGGAAUUCCAUGUGUAGCGGUGAAAUGCGUAGAUAUAUGGAGGAACACCAGUGGCGAAGGCGGCUCUCUGGUCUGUAACUGACGCUGAGGCUCGAAAGCGUGGGGAGCAAACAGG
RNAcentral lists this ribosomal RNA (429 nucleotides) under Gemmatimonadota bacterium. RNAcentral's name for it is "Gemmatimonadetes bacterium partial 16S ribosomal RNA". It matches the Rfam family "Bacterial small subunit ribosomal RNA", at positions 355 to 776 of the family's 1533-position model. The record is from RNAcentral. Lineage: Bacteria; Pseudomonadati; Gemmatimonadota.